This is a long non-coding RNA of Mercurialis annua (annual mercury), 632 nucleotides long. RefSeq lists it as uncharacterized. The transcript is spliced from 3 exons. NCBI's taxonomy places the organism in Eukaryota, Viridiplantae, Streptophyta, Magnoliopsida, Malpighiales, Euphorbiaceae. The record is from RefSeq and is a predicted model, not a curated record.
UACUAUCAGCAAAACAUGAAUUCCCAGCAAAGGAAUAGCAGAAAAUUCGUCAUCUUCAUCACCUCUUUUAAAGAAAACUUCAAAUGGCCAUGGGUGAUUCGUUUUUCAUCUGAAUUUCGUGAUUCUUGCGGCAACGGAACGAGGAGGACGAUAUCUACUGAUCUAUGGCAUCAAAUCAAGACUUGACGAGACGACUACCAAUGGAACCCGAAACUUACGGAACACGAGAUCGCUAGGUAUUAUCGAAGAUUAUGGAUAGCAAGCGUGUGUUUUUCAGGUACCUAGAUUCUAUACGUGGCUAGAAGUCCUUCUUUGACCAGAGGUUCCUUUGGGCUAUGUACAGUCCCGACUUUCGUAGUUGCUGCAGUAGUGUGAGUCUGACCGGUGUCGUGGCCUAGCAUAUUAACAUGUUUUUAUGAUGUCUAUAGUUGUUGUCAUUAAAUAUACGCUUUGUUGGCUACGAUUAUUGUAUUUGUUCCACGGAGGUAGAUACCCGUGAAGUGACUUUGACACUAGUAGUUUAUGCCGGACUAGUACGUACCUGAUACGGAAACGAUAAGUCCGAGCAAGUUGUAAGACUUUACUAGUGUAUAUAAAUGUAUCUUUGUUUUGUUAAAUGCUUCCGUUUAUAA